GGGCUUUUACGUAAAUGUAGUCUACCGCUGGGAGGGUCAGAAAGUAGAGCGAGCAAGGGGCUUUCAGCCUCUCGAAAGAGAUGUCCUCUCUCUGUUAUGCUUCAUCUCGCUUGGUUCCAAAAGCUACAGCUUCCCCUCAGCAAGAUUCAGCAUCAACUCAGCCCCAAAUUGGAAGAAGGGAAGUUGUGCUGAGGAGCAGUGGACUAGCAACAUUUGCAGCCAUUUUCCAUUUCAGUGGGACGAAGCCUAACUAUCUCGGAGUGCAAAAGAACCCUCCAUCUCUGGCUUUAUGUCCUGCAACCAACAACUGUCUAUCUACUUCAGAGGAUAUGACUGAUCUUACUCACUUUGCUCCUCCGUGGAAUUACAACCCUGAAGAUGGAAAAAGAAAAAAGCCCGCCAGCCAAGAAGAAGCCAUGGAAGAGCUUCUUCAAGUGAUAAACACAACAAAGCCUGACAAUUUUACUCCUCGUAUUGUAGAGAAAAAAGAAGACUAUAUUCGUGUUGAAUAUGAGAGUCCUAUAAUGGGGUUUGUAGAUGACGUGGAGUUUUGGUUCCCACCUGGCAAGAAAUCACUUGUUCAGUAUCGAUCCGCAUCUCGUUUGGGAAAUUUUGACUUUGAUGUCAACAGGAAGAGAAUUAAGACAUUGCGUUUAGCACUGGAGAAAAAGGGUUGGGUUUCUCAGAGCAGCUUCUGAGAUUCAUCCAUGUAAUUGAUCAAAUUGUUUUAUACAACAUUUUCAUAAACUGCAAGAGCUCAGGGAUUUUUCCUACAUAAUAAAAGCGCCUCAACAGUUGGAGCCUCAUUCCAUUCUUGUAUCAACCACCAAGGGAAGCGGUGUUCAUUGAGAGUAGCCUUCAUCUUCUUUCCAGUCUUCACAUUUGUCAUAGUUGCGCACUCAUGAAUGGAAGUUACAGCAGAAUUGAUAACAGAUGCAUGAGAGAAAGGGGAGGAAUGGAAGACGCAUCUAUUUAUAGCAGAUCAUAUGCGUCACUAACAGUCGAGAAAAAUUGUCCUCCAUAAGCAUCCUUUUGUUUCUGACAUUGAGCAACUUUUCAAGCAUGACCAUAAAACUAUCAAAAGUUGUUGGUCACUGUAUCCAGUUCAUCUGAUCAACAAAAUACUUUCGGACUCGUGAAGGCAGCCGACAAGAGAAGAAAAUAUGAUCUCUUGUUUCUAGUUCCUCAUCACAGAGCAAACAUGAAGCAUCCCCUUGUUGUCCUUUCUUUUGUAAAUUUACUUUAGUAUGAAGUUUGCUGGGUAAAAUAUGAUUGCAAACAUGUAAGAAUUCUGACUUUGCUGGGUAAAAU
This is an RNA transcript of Asparagus officinalis (garden asparagus), 1311 nucleotides long. RefSeq lists it as uncharacterized. Lineage: Eukaryota; Viridiplantae; Streptophyta; Magnoliopsida; Asparagales; Asparagaceae. The record is from RefSeq and is a predicted model, not a curated record. The transcript is spliced from 8 exons.